GGACAGUCUACAUAGAGUUACAAAGAUUAUGUAUAGUAGAAAAAGCUGGGAAGCUUUGACAUAGAGGGUGAUAUCCCCGUAUACGAAAUGCAUAAUUCUCUUGACUGCAUCCUGAGUAGGGCGGGGCACGUGAAACGCGGACUGAAUCUGCCGGGACCAUCCGGUAAGGCUAAAUACUAACCAGACACCGAUAGUGAACUAGUACCGUGAGGGAAAGGUGAAAAGAACCCCGGGAGGGGAGGGAAAUAGAUUCUGAUACUACUUACUUACAAUUAGUCAGAGCACGUUAAUGUGUGAUGGCGUACAUCUUGCAGUAUGGACCGGCGAGUUAUGUUAACAUGCGAGGUUAAGUGGAUAAAAGCGGAGCCGAAGAGAAAUCGAGUCUGAAUAGGGCGAAUUAGUAUGUUGACAUAGACCCGAAACCAGGUGAUCUAUUCAUGAGCAGGUUGAAGCUUAGGUAAUACUAAGUGGAGGACCGAACCGUAGUACGCUGAAAAGUGCCCGGAUGACUUGUGAAUAGCGGUGAAAUUCCAAUCGAACCUGGAUAUAGCUGGUUCUCCUCGAAAUAGCUUUAGGGCUAGCGUGUGAUGUUAAACUUUGGUGGUAGAGCACUGAAUAUGGAAUGGCGGCGCCUAGCUGUACUGACUAUAAUCAAACUCCGAAUACCAUUGUGUAUUAUCAUGCAGUCGGAACAUCGGUGAUAACGUCGAUGCUCGCGAGGGUAACAACCCAGAUCGGCGGCUAAGGUCCCAAAAUUUAUGUUAAGUGAUAAAGGUUGUGAGGUUUCUCAAACAACUAGGAAGUUGGCUUAGAAGCAGCCAUCUUUUAAAGAGUGCGUAAUAGCUCACUAGUCAAGAGACCUUGCGCCGACAAUGUAACGGGACUAAACAUAAUACCGAAG
Molecule: ribosomal RNA, 901 nt
Filed under: Escherichia coli
Lineage: Bacteria; Pseudomonadati; Pseudomonadota; Gammaproteobacteria; Enterobacterales; Enterobacteriaceae
Description: bacterial LSU rRNA
Rfam family: Bacterial large subunit ribosomal RNA
Source: RNAcentral